This 468-nucleotide ribosomal RNA is filed under the name uncultured bacterium. Its description in RNAcentral is "partial 16S ribosomal RNA". It matches the Rfam family "Bacterial small subunit ribosomal RNA", at positions 28 to 507 of the family's 1533-position model. The record is from RNAcentral.
GACGAACGCUGGCGGCGUGCUUAACACAUGCAAGUCGAACGGAAAGGCCCUGCUUUUGUGGGGUGCUCGAGUGGCGAACGGGUGAGUAACACGUGAGUAACCUGCCCUUGACUUUGGGAUAACUUCAGGAAACUGGGGCUAAUACCGGAUAGGAGCUCCUGCUGCAUGGUGGGGGUUGGAAAGUUUCGGCGGUUGGGGAUGGACUCGCGGCUGAUCAGCUUGUUGGUGGGGUAGUGGCUUACCAAGGCUUUGACGGGUAGCCGGCCUGAGAGGGUGACCGGCCACAUUGGGACUGAGAUACGGCCCGGACUCCUACGGGAGGCAGCAGUGGGGAAUAUUGCACAAUGGGCGGAAGCCUGAUGCAGCAACGCCGCGUGCGGGAUGACGGCCUUCGGGUUGUAAACCGCUUUCGCCUGUGACGAAGCGUGAGUGACGGUAAUGGGUAAAGAAGCACCGGCUAACUACGUG